CAUUAGUUAGCUGAAAAAUUAGUUUAGUUACGUUGUGAGGAAUGCUUGUUAGUGGUUCAUUAUCUCUCUAAUAAGCUCUCUAAGUAGAGCUCAAACUCCCCCUCAUUUGUAUCUUAUAUCAUUUUCAAUCAAUCCCACAGUUACCUUUAUAGAACUCCUCUUCUAUUCUAUGAGCUCUACGAUGUAUGGCCACGUCAACUUGGUAUAAUAUGC
RNAcentral lists this long non-coding RNA (213 nucleotides) under Glycine max (soybean). RNAcentral describes it as "long non-coding RNA (GMAX_LNC004409)". Lineage: Eukaryota; Viridiplantae; Streptophyta; Magnoliopsida; Fabales; Fabaceae. The record is from RNAcentral.